GCCCCGAUAGCUCAGUCGGUUUAGAGCAUUCGGCUUUUAACCGAAAAGUCAUGGGUUCGACCCCCAUUCGGGGCG
Molecule: transfer RNA, 75 nt
Filed under: Ascosphaera apis ARSEF 7405
Lineage: Eukaryota; Fungi; Ascomycota; Eurotiomycetes; Onygenales; Ascosphaeraceae
Description: tRNA-Lys (TTT) (tRNA-Lys-TTT-4-1)
Rfam family: tRNA
About the family: Transfer RNA (tRNA) molecules are approximately 80 nucleotides in length. Their secondary structure includes four short double-helical elements and three loops (D, anti-codon, and T loops).
Source: RNAcentral